Non-coding RNA from Saimiri boliviensis boliviensis (Bolivian squirrel monkey), 704 nucleotides. The record is from RefSeq and is a predicted model, not a curated record. NCBI's taxonomy places the organism in Eukaryota, Metazoa, Chordata, Mammalia, Primates, Cebidae.
AGGACCUGACCUAAAUCGAGCUGCCCUUCCAGGACACAAUGUGGCUGACCUGGUGGUGAUACUCAAGAUUCUGCCAACAUUGGAAGCUGUUGCUGCCCUGGGGAACAAAGUCCUGGAAAGCCUAAGAGCACAGGAUCCUUCUGAAGUUUUAACCAUGCUAACCAAUGAAACUGGCUUUGAAAUCAGUUCUUCUGAUGCUACAGUGAAGAUUCUCAUUACAACAGUGCCACCCAAUCUUCAAAAACUGGACCAGAACUCCAUUUGGAUAUCAAGGUAUUGCAGAGUGCCUUAGCAGCCAUCCGACAUGCCCGCUGGUUUGAGGAAAAUGCUUCUCAGUCCACAGUUAAAGUUCUCAUCAGACUACUGAAAGACUUGAGGAUUCGUUUUCCUGGCUUUGAAGCCCCUAACACCCUGGAUCCUUGACCUACUAGUUCAUUAUGCUGCAAUGAACAACCCCACCAGACAGCCUUUGGCCCUAAACGUUGCAUACAGGCACUGCUUACAGAUUCUGGCUGCGGGACUGUUCCUGCCAGGUUCAGUGGGUAUCACUGACCCCUGUGAGAGUGGCAACUUCAGAGUACACACAGUCAUGACCCUAGAACAGCAGGACAUGGUCUGCUAUACAGCUCAGACUCUCGUCCGAAUCCUCACAUGGUGGCUUUAGGAAGAUCCUUGGCCAGGAGGGUGAUGUCAGCUGUGAGUGA